RNAcentral lists this long non-coding RNA (243 nucleotides) under Homo sapiens (human). Its description in RNAcentral is "non-protein coding lnc-C5orf38-1:3". The record is from RNAcentral. Lineage: Eukaryota; Metazoa; Chordata; Mammalia; Primates; Hominidae.
GAGGCGUUCUUCCACUACCGGUCCAAUGUUCCUAGAAGGCAAUGCAAUUUGUGGACAAGCCCAUGAAACCCAAAGGUGAAAAAGGGAAACAGGUUUACACAGACAGCCCUUCCUGCCACGUCUCCAGACAUUCCUGCUGGAAUCUAAUCACCUUUGUCUUUAACCAGGCUUCCUGCCCACAUCUUACCAGGUGAUCACAGGUGUCAGUUGGUGUCUCGCCACUCCCUGAGGGUGGAUAUACUU